Molecule: ribosomal RNA, 1372 nt
Filed under: uncultured bacterium
Lineage: Bacteria
Description: bacterial SSU rRNA
Rfam family: Bacterial small subunit ribosomal RNA
Source: RNAcentral
GAUGAACUUUGGCGGCGUGCCUAAUACAUGCAAGUCGAGCGAACAGACGAGGAGCUUGCUCCUUUGACGUUAGCGGCGGACGGGUGAGUAACACGUGGGUAACCUACCUAUAAGACUGGGAUAACUUCGGGAAACCGGAGCUAAUACCGGAUAAUAUUUCGAACCGCAUGGUUCGAUAGUGAAAGAUGGCUUUGCUAUCACUUAUAGAUGGACCUGCGCCGUAUUAGCUAGUUGGUAAGGUAACGGCUUACCAAGGCAACGAUACGUAGCCGACCUGAGAGGGUGAUCGGCCACACUGGAACUGAGACACGGUCCAGACUCCUACGGGAGGCAGCAGUAGGGAAUCUUCCGCAAUGGGCGAAAGCCUGACGGAGCAACGCCGCGUGAGUGAUGAAGGUCUUCGGAUCGUAAAACUCUGUUAUUAGGGAAGAACAAACGUGUAAGUAACUGUGCACGUCUUGACGGUACCUAAUCAGAAAGCCACGGCUAACUACGUGCCAGCAGCCGCGGUAAUACGUAGGUGGCAAGCGUUAUCCGGAAUUAUUGGGCGUAAAGCGCGCGUAGGCGGUUUUUUAAGUCUGAUGUGAAAGCCCACGGCUCAACCGUGGAGGGUCAUUGGAAACUGGAAAACUUGAGUGCAGAAGAGGAAAGUGGAAUUCCAUGUGUAGCGGUGAAAUGCGCAGAGAUAUGGAGGAACACCAGUGGCGAAGGCGACUUUCUGGUCUGUAACUGACGCUGAUGUGCGAAAGCGUGGGGAUCAAACAGGAUUAGAUACCCUGGUAGUCCACGCCGUAAACGAUGAGUGCUAAGUGUUAGGGGGUUUCCGCCCCUUAGUGCUGCAGCUAACGCAUUAAGCACUCCGCCUGGGGAGUACGACCGCAAGGUUGAAACUCAAAGGAAUUGACGGGGACCCGCACAAGCGGUGGAGCAUGCGGUUUAAUUCGAAGCAACGCGAAGAACCUUACCAAAUCUUGACAUCCUUUGACCCUUCUAGAGAUAGAAGUUUCCCCUUCGGGGGACAAAGUGACAGGUGGUGCAUGGUUGUCGUCAGCUCGUGUCGUGAGACGUUGGGUUAAGUCCCGCAACGAGCGCAACCCUUAAGCUUAGUUGCCAUCAUUAAGUUGGGCACUCUAAGUUGACUGCCGGUGACAAACCGGAGGAAGGUGGGGAUGACGUCAAAUCAUCAUGCCCCUUAUGAUUUGGGCUACACACGUGCUACAAUGGACAAUACAAAGGGCAGCGAAACCGCGAGGUCAAGCAAAUCCCAUAAAGUUGUUCUCAGUUCGGAUUGUAGUCUGCAACUCGACUACAUGAAGCUGGAAUCGCUAGUAAUCGUAGAUCAGCAUGCUACGGUGAAUACGUUCCCGGGUCU